GCUCGUGUCGUGAGAUGUUGGGUUAAGUCCCGCAACGAGCGCAACCCUCGACCUUAGUUGCCAGCGGUUCGGCCGGGCACUCUAACGGGACUGCCCGCGAAAGCGGGAGGAAGGAGGGGACGACGUCUGGUCAGCAUGGCUCUUACGGCCUGGGCGACACACGUGCUACAAUGCCCACUACAAAGCGAGGCCACCCGGCAACGGGGAGCUAAUCGCAAAAAGGUGGGCCCAGUUCGGAUUGGGGUCUGCAACCCGACCCCAUGAAGCCGGAAUCGCUAGUAAUCGCGGAUCAGCCAUGCCGCGGUGAAUACGUUCCCGGGCCUU
RNAcentral lists this ribosomal RNA (324 nucleotides) under uncultured Thermus sp. RNAcentral describes it as "bacterial SSU rRNA". It matches the Rfam family "Bacterial small subunit ribosomal RNA", at positions 1058 to 1382 of the family's 1533-position model. Lineage: Bacteria; Thermotogati; Deinococcota; Deinococci; Thermales; Thermaceae. The record is from RNAcentral.